GUGAAAUUGUUGAAAGGGAAGCGCUUGCAACCAGACCUGCCUGCAGUUGCUCAUCCGGGCUUUUGCCCGGUGCACUCUUCUGCUGUCAGGCCAGCAUCAGUUCGGGCGGUCGGAUAAAGGCUUCGGGAAUGUAGCUCCUCUCGAGGAGUGUUAUAGCCCGUUGCGAAAUGCGGCCAGCCUGAACUGAGGUCCGCGCUUCGGCUAGGAUGCUGGCGUAAUGGUUGUAAGCGGCCCGUCUUGAAACACGGACCAAGGAGUCUAACAUCUGUGCGAGUGUUUGGGUGUCAAACCCGUACGCGUAAUGAAAGUGAACGGAGGCGGGAACCCCUCGGGGUGCACCGUCGACCGAUCCUGAUGUCUUCGGAUGGAUUUGAGUAAGAGCAUAGCUGUUGGGACCCGAAAGAUGGUGAACUAUGCCUGAAUAGGGUGAAGCCAGAGGAAACUCUGGUGGAGGCUCGCAGCGGUUCUGACGUGCAAAUCGAUCGUCAAAUUUGGGCAUAGGGGCGAAAGACUAAUCGAACUAUCUAGUAGCUGGUUCCUGCCGAAGUUUCCCUCAGGAUAGCAGUAACGUUUUCAGUUUUAUGAGGUAAAGCGAAUGAUUAGAGGCCUGGGGGUUGAAACAACCUUCACCUAUUCUCAAACUUUAAAUAUGUAAGAAGUCCUUGUUGCUUAGUUGAACGUGGACAUUUGAAUGUAUCGUUACUAGUGGGCCAUUUUUGGUAAGCAGAACUGGCGAUGCCGGAUGAACCGAACGCGGAGUUAAGGUGCCGGAAUGCACGCUCAU
RNAcentral lists this ribosomal RNA (784 nucleotides) under uncultured Ascomycota. RNAcentral's name for it is "LSU rRNA". It matches the Rfam family "Eukaryotic large subunit ribosomal RNA", at positions 399 to 1204 of the family's 3401-position model. Lineage: Eukaryota; Fungi; Ascomycota. The record is from RNAcentral.